This is a long non-coding RNA of Oncorhynchus tshawytscha (Chinook salmon), 766 nucleotides long. The record is from Ensembl. Lineage: Eukaryota; Metazoa; Chordata; Actinopteri; Salmoniformes; Salmonidae.
AUUUUGUUGAUGUAGUGAUCUACUCAUUCUACAAUGUGUUUUCUGGUGUUUUUGAAGUACUAAUUUUGAAAUAUGCAAUAUUUAGUGAACUCUUCAAUGUUUGUAUUUGGAAUUUGUGUGUUCCUGAAAUGCUCAAUUUAAUUGAAUUGAAUAAUUAUGACUUACAGUAUUGUUGGUUUGUCUUCACUUGAUCUGUCUUCACGGGCUUUACAGCAUAUCCCCCCUUAUUUGGUCUGUCUUCACAUGCUUUACAGCAUAUCCCCCUUAUUUGGUCUAUCUUUAUAGGCUUCACAGCAUAUCCCCCCUUAUUUGGUCUGUCUUUACAGGCUUUACAGCAUAUCCCCCCUUAUUUGGUCUGUCUUCACGGGCUUUACAGCACAUCCCCCUUAUUUGGUCUGUCUUCACGGGCUUUACAGCAUAUCCCCCCUUAUUUGGUCUGUCUUCACAUGCUUUACAGCAUAUCCCCCUUAUUUGGUCUGUCUUCACAUGCUUUACAACAUAUCCCCCUUAUUUAGUCUGUCUUUACAGGCUUUACAGCAUAUCCCCCUUAUUUGGUCUGUCUUUACAGGCUUUACAGCAUAUCCCCCUUAUUUGGUCUGUCUUUACAGGCUUUACAGCAUAUCCCCUUAUUUGGUCUGUCUUUACAGGCUUUACAGCAUAUCCCCCUUAUUUAGUCUGUCUUUACAGGCUUUACAGCAUAUCCCCUUAUUUGGUCUGUCUUUACAGGCUUUACAGCAUAUCCCCCUUAUUUGGUCUGUCUUCACAG